UCCGAGUUGACCCCGGCAGUCCCCCUAGAGUGCCCACCAUGACGUGAUGGCAACUAAGAGUAAAGGUUGCGCUCGUUGCGGGACUUAACCCAACACUUCACAGCACGAGCUGACGACAGCCAUGCAGCACCUGUGCAAAGGUCCCUUGCGGGAAGACCCACUUUCAUGGGCUGUCCUAAGCAUGUCAAGCCUGGGUAAGGUUCUUCGCGUAGCCUCGAAUUAAACCACAUGCUCCACCGCUUGUGCGGGUCCCCGUCAAUUUCUUUGAGUUUCAGUCUUGCGACCGUACUCCCCAGGUGGUGGAUUUAAUGCGUUAGCGUCGGCGCCGGAGGGAUCGACACCCCCGACACCUAAUCCACAUCGUUUACGGCAAGGACUAC
This 380-nucleotide unclassified non-coding RNA is filed under the name uncultured bacterium. RNAcentral describes it as "contains 16S-23S intergenic spacer region". The record is from RNAcentral.